Molecule: small RNA, 3727 nt
Filed under: Pongo abelii (Sumatran orangutan)
Lineage: Eukaryota; Metazoa; Chordata; Mammalia; Primates; Hominidae
Description: retained intron
Source: RNAcentral
AGACUUGAUGUUUUAUAUAGAAAUGGACCCACCAGGUAAUACUGCGGUAUUAUUGUAGAGAGUUAGUUAAUUUCGUGGCUUUUUAAUUUUUUGAAAGCUACUGUAAAAGAUCCUUUUUAGAUUUCUGUUUUUAUUAAUUUGUUUCAUUGAUAAAAAUUAGUUUGCUCAUGGCUUAAAAAUUAAACAGAUUGUUUGACUGUCUGUGGAAGCAAGCAGCUCAGGCUGUGUGUGGUAAAUGCUUAUUCUUACUUGAAUGGAUAUGAAUUGAACUCCAGUUUUUCACUGGUGUCUUUUGUUAAUCGAGAUCCUUCCCUGGGUGAGUUAUGUUGUGGGAUAUUGUCCCUGUAAUUAAAAUGAUGCAUCCUUUGUGCUGCUUUUCUGUUGCCAGUGGAUGAGAACAGUGUGGCACUUUGCAGUGAUAACACUUGGUACUUUAGAAAGCAUGUAAAAUGUAGCAGUGAUUACAACUCAGUUCUCUAGAUGUUGAGACUUUGCUUGCGUUCUCUUAUAUUAAGAUAUUAUAAUGAAAAAAGAAGUUGACUUUCCAUUAUUGUUAGUCUUUGUAAAAUAUUCUUGGUAGAUACCUGAAAUCAUUUUUUGUAUAAGUUAAAGUAGUAACAGUGCUUUAAAACUUAUGACAGAAUUUACCUAAAAUCCUAGAUUUAUUUGGUUUCCUAAGUUGUUCUAUUCCAAUGUUAGCUCUCCCCCUGCCCCCAUUUAAGGUAUUCAGGAAUAUUGCAGUCUUUUAUUUGUCACCGGUUGGCAUAUAUGAAUACUGAUUUGACAUUGAGGAAGGGGGAUAUCGUUUUUAACCAGACCUGGUAUAUAGAGCACAAUUUAUCCAACAGACUAUUAACAUAAAUAUUAAAGAGAUUUAGGGCACAGAUGAGAGUUUCUUAAAAAGUGGCUUUUGGCAGAACAGUGCCUGAAAUACUAAGAUUAGAGAAACCCAAUUGCUGCUCUUAAAACAUACUGCUGUAGAUGAGCCUUUUUAUUACUGCAACAGUGUUUGUGGAGGACAGAGACCAAAUUUGUCUUUCAUAAUUAAAUAAGAGGAAAUUAAAGCCAACUCAUGUUAUUCCUGCUACUCAUAUGUUCAUAGUUUCUUACUUUAGAUGGAUUUGACCAGGCAUGAAACUUUAAUAUAACUAGAAUCUAGAAGUACAGAAUGUCAUGACUCUGGAUUUACUUUGAAAUUUAUUCACAUGGCCAGCCCAAUUUAUUUGUUAGUUUCUAAGGCUCUCUCUCUUUUCUCCUUUUCAGUUUCAUUUCUUUUUGAGCCAUGCUCUGAAAGAUUUUUCUUUUAAGAAAAUUAUCUUCCAUAUUGCAUGGAAUUGUGAACUAAUGCUAUAUAUUUCAGUUACUCUAAUUUUUUAUUUUUUUAAAGUAAAAGUAUUCAUCCAAAGAAAUUUAGUUCUAAUGUAGUUGGGAUUGUGAACAACUUUUUCUUUUUCAUCUGCAGCACUGCCUCCUAAACCACCAAAACCCACUACUGUAGCCAACAACGGUAUGAAUAACAAUAUGUCCUUACAAGAUGCUGAAUGGUACUGGGGAGAUAUCUCGAGGGAAGAAGUGAAUGAAAAACUUCGAGAUACAGCAGACGGGACCUUUUUGGUACGAGAUGCGUCUACUAAAAUGCAUGGUGAUUAUACUCUUACACUAAGGAAAGGGGGUAAUAACAAAUUAAUCAAAAUAUUUCAUCGAGAUGGGAAAUAUGGCUUCUCUGACCCAUUAACCUUCAAUUCUGUGGUUGAAUUAAUAAACCACUACCGGAAUGAAUCUCUAGCUCAGUAUAAUCCCAAAUUGGAUGUGAAAUUACUUUACCCAGUAUCCAAAUACCAACAGGAUCAAGUUGUCAAAGAAGAUAAUAUUGAAGCUGUAGGGAAAAAAUUGCAUGAAUAUAACACUCAGUUUCAAGAAAAAAGUCGAGAAUAUGAUAGAUUAUAUGAAGAAUAUACCCGUACAUCCCAGGAAAUCCAGAUGAAAAGGACAGCUAUUGAAGCAUUUAAUGAAACCAUAAAAAUAUUUGAAGAACAGUGCCAGACCCAAGAGCGGUACAGCAAAGAAUACAUAGAAAAGUUUAAACGUGAAGGCAAUGAGAAAGAAAUACAAAGGAUUAUGCAUAAUUAUGAUAAGUUGAAGUCUCGAAUCAGUGAAAUUAUUGACAGUAGAAGAAGAUUGGAAGAAGACUUGAAGAAGCAGGCAGCUGAGUAUCGAGAAAUUGACAAACGUAUGAACAGCAUUAAACCUGACCUUAUCCAGCUGAGAAAGACAAGAGACCAAUACUUGAUGUGGUUGACUCAAAAAGGUGUUCGGCAAAAGAAGUUGAACGAGUGGUUGGGCAAUGAAAACACUGAAGACCAAUAUUCACUGGUGGAAGAUGAUGAAGAUUUGCCCCAUCAUGAUGAGAAGACGUGGAACGUUGGAAGCAGCAACCGAAACAAAGCUGAAAACCUGUUGCGAGGGAAGCGAGAUGGCACUUUUCUUGUCCGGGAGAGCAGUAAACAGGGCUGCUACGCCUGCUCUGUAGUGGUGGACGGCGAAGUAAAGCAUUGUGUCAUAAACAAAACAGCAACUGGCUAUGGCUUUGCCGAGCCCUAUAACUUGUACAGCUCUCUGAAAGAACUGGUGCUACAUUACCAACACACCUCCCUCGUGCAGCACAACGACUCCCUCAAUGUCACACUAGCCUACCCAGUAUAUGCACAGCAGAGGCGAUGAAGCUCUUACUCUCUGAUCCUUCUCCUGAAGUUCAGCCACCCUGAGGCCUCUGGAAAGCAAAGGGCUCCUCUCCAGUCUGAUCUGUGAAUUGAGCUGCAGAAACGAAGCCAUCUGUCUUUGGAUGGGACUAGAGCUUUCUUUCACAAAAAAGAAGUAGGGGAAGACAUGCAGCCUAGGGCUGUAUGAUGACCACACGUUUCUAAGCUGGAGUGCUUAUCCCUUCUUUCUUUUUCUUUUUUUCUUUGGUUUAAUUUAAAGCCACAACCACAUACAACACAAAGAGAAAAAGAAAUGCAAAAAUCUCUGCGUGCAGGGACAAAGAGGCCUUUAACCAUGGUGCUUGUUAAUGCUUUCUGAAGCUUUACCAGCUGAAAGUUGGGACUCUGUAGAGCGGAGGAGAGAGAGGCAGAAGAACCCUGGCCUGAGAAGGUUCGGUCCAGCCUGGUUUAGCCUGGAUGUUGCUGUGCACGGUGGACCCAGACACAUCGCACUGUGGAUUAUUUCAUUUUGUAACAAAUGAACGAUAUGUAGCAGAAAGGCACGUCCACUCACAAGGGACGCUUUGGGAGAAUGUCAGUUCAUGUAUGUUCAGAAGAAAUUCUGUCAUAGAAAGUGCCAGAAAGUGUUUAACUUGUCAAAAAACAAAAACCCAGCAACAGAAAUGGAGUUUGGAAAACAGGACUUAAAAUGACAUUCAGUAUAUAAAAUAUGUACAUAAUAUUGAAUGACUAACUAUCAAAUAGAUGGAUUUGUAUCAAUACCAAAUAGCUUCUGUUUUGUUUUGCUGAAGGCUAAAUUCACAGCGCUAUGCAAUUCUUAAUUUUCAUUAAGUUGUUAUUUCAGUUUUAAAUGUACCUUCAGAAUAAGCUUCCCCACCCGUUUUUGUUGCUUGAAAAUAUUGUUGUCCCGGAUUUUUGUUAAUAUUCAUUUUUGUUAUCCUUUUUUAAAAGUAAGUGUACAGGAUGCCAGUAAAAAAAAAAAAAAUGGCUUCAGAAUUAAAACUAUG